CCCGCUGAACUUAAGCAUAUCGAUAAGCGGAGGAAAAGAAACCAACAGGGAUUGCCUCACUAACGGCGAGUGAAGCGGCAACAGCUCAAAUGUGAAAUCUGGCUUCUUUCACGGCCCAAGUUGUAAUUUGUAGAGGAUGCCUUCGAGGUGUGGCCCCGGCCUAAGUUCCUUGGAACAGGACGUCACACAGGGUGAGAAUCCCGUAUGUGGCUGGAGGUCUAUGCCCAUGUGAAGCUACUUCAACGAGUCCAGUGUGUUUGGGAAUGCAGCUCAAAAUGGGUGGUAAGUUUCAUCUAAAGCUAAAUACUGGCGGGAGACCGAUAGCGCACAAGUAGAGUGAUCGAAAGAUGAAAAGCACUUUGGAAAGAGAGUUAAAAAGUACGUGAAAUUGUUGAAAGGGAAGCGCUUGCGACCAGACUUGCCCUCGGUUGAUCAACCGGUGUUCUUCACCGGUGCACUCGGCUGAGGUCAGGCCAGCAUCAGUUCAGGCGGUUGGAGAAAGACCUUGGGAAUGUGGCUCCCUCCGGGGAGUGUUAUAGCCCAUGGUGUCAUGCGACCAGCCUGGACUGAGGACCGCGCUCCCUGCUAGGAUGCUGGUGUAAUGGUCGUAAGCGACCCGUCUUGAAACACGG
This 632-nucleotide ribosomal RNA is filed under the name uncultured fungus. RNAcentral's name for it is "eukaryotic LSU rRNA". It matches the Rfam family "Eukaryotic large subunit ribosomal RNA", at positions 24 to 664 of the family's 3401-position model. The record is from RNAcentral. Lineage: Eukaryota; Fungi.